GUGCUUGCUUCAGCAGCACAUAUACUAAAGUUGGAACCAUACAGAGAAGAUUAGCAUGGCCCCUGCACGAGGAUGACAUGCAAAUUCGUGAAACAUUCCAUAUUUUU
Otolemur garnettii (small-eared galago) is the source of this 107-nucleotide small nuclear RNA. Lineage: Eukaryota; Metazoa; Chordata; Mammalia; Primates; Galagidae. The record is from Ensembl.